UUAAUUGAAACCAAAAAAAGGUACUUUAUUGUUAAUAAUUUUAUUGAAUAAAUUUAUUCCAAUUAAA
RNAcentral lists this transfer RNA (67 nucleotides) under Acropyga donisthorpei. RNAcentral describes it as "tRNA-Asn". The record is from RNAcentral. Lineage: Eukaryota; Metazoa; Arthropoda; Insecta; Hymenoptera; Formicidae.